AGCUCGAGCCCUAAACGAGCCGCUUGAAAUUCUCAACAUCAUACGAUCAAUAGUUUAAUUUGUAUAGAAUAUUCUCUAUAAUUUGAUACAAAAAAAUGUCUAAUAGUUCAAAGUACAAAAUAAUUAUAUGAAAUAUAUAUAAUAUUAUAAUAUGAAAAAAAAUAAUUUAUGAGUUGAAUAUCUAAUCUUUUCAGCCUCACAUGUCUUCUUUUCCGCCUUCAAUCUUCAUAUUAUUCAUUUUUAUUUAUGCGGUCAAAAAUAAAUAAAUUAUAUAGAUAAAUAUUGGAUUAAACUAUCCAAUCAUAAAACUAAAAUUAAAAUUUUAUAUAAAUAAUAAUUUUUUACUUUAAAAAUAUUCUGUAUAUUUUCUCAAGCAUACAAUUAAUAGCAAGGUAGGCAACGACGGGCAUAUGCUGUUACUUGGUAAUUUGGAGAGCUGUCGGCUUUGCCACUUAGGGCGAGAGACAGAAAAAGAAAAAGAGAGAAACAUAUUAAAAAUUUAGAGCUCUGUGAAAGAAAGAAAGAAAGUAAAAAUAUAUAAAUUUAGUAAAAUUUUGCUCUUUUAUUUGUCUAUUGGGUUUGUUUUUAUGGGCCAACAACAUUGGCCCAAUUUUAACUACACUCAGAUUAUUCACUCAGCCUAUAUAUAAUUAAAAUAUAUUAUAUUUAUAUUUUUUUAAUAAAUAUAUAUAUGUAUAUAUAGCGUAGAACUACUAUGCUUUCGAAAAUAUAGAGGAUUUGAUGUUUCCGAAUUUUUGACUCUUUGAUUAAGAAUUGUAUGGUUGGGAUGAUUGUGAUCCCCCUAGGAUUGAAUAAGACCCCUAGGAUUGAGUGGUAUCUACAAGGUAAUAAUAGUAUUAAUCCAAAGAUAAGAAAUAAUUAAAGGGGUUGAUCUAAGAAUCAAAAAAUUGAAAGCACCAAAUGCUCUAUACUUUCG
Molecule: long non-coding RNA, 937 nt
Filed under: Ananas comosus (pineapple)
Lineage: Eukaryota; Viridiplantae; Streptophyta; Magnoliopsida; Poales; Bromeliaceae
Description: long non-coding RNA (ACOM_LNC034337)
Source: RNAcentral